GACGAACGCUGGCGGCGUGCUUAACACAUGCAAGUCGAACGGAAAGGCCUUUUCGGAGGUACUCGAGUGGCGAACGGGUGAGUAACACGUGGGUGAUCUGCCCUGCACUCUGGGAUGAGCCUGGGAAACUGGGUCUAAUACCGGAUAGGACCGCACUUUAGUGUGUGUGGUGGAAAGUUUUUUCGGUGUAGGAUGAGCCCGCGGCCUAUCAGCUUGUUGGUGGGGUAAUGGCCUACCAAGGCGGCGACGGGUAGCCGGACUGAGAGGUUGGUCGGCCACAUUGGGACUGAGAUACGGCCCAGACUCCUACGGGAGGCAGCAGUGGGGAAUAUUGCACAAUGGGCGCAAGCCUGAUGCAGCGACGCCGCGUGGGGGAUGACGGCCUUCGGGUUGUAAACUCCUUUCGCCAGGGACGAAGCGUUUUGUGACGGUACCUGGAGAAGAAGCACCGGCUAACUACGUG
Molecule: ribosomal RNA, 463 nt
Filed under: uncultured bacterium
Lineage: Bacteria
Description: partial 16S ribosomal RNA
Rfam family: Bacterial small subunit ribosomal RNA
Source: RNAcentral